Molecule: transfer RNA, 95 nt
Filed under: Lizanozyma spartinae
Lineage: Eukaryota; Fungi; Ascomycota; Pichiomycetes; Serinales; Debaryomycetaceae
Description: Scheffersomyces spartinae tRNA-Val
Source: RNAcentral
GGUUUAGUGGUGUAGCGGCUAUCACGUUUCGUUUACAUAUUGCGAUUGCAAAGUAAGCGCCGAAAAGGUCCCGAGUUCGAUCCUCGGCUAGAUCA